Molecule: non-coding RNA, 31 nt
Filed under: Mus musculus (house mouse)
Lineage: Eukaryota; Metazoa; Chordata; Mammalia; Rodentia; Muridae
Source: RNAcentral
UAAGAUGGAGGAUUCUUGGAAAAUUCAGUGG